GAUGAAGAACGCAGCGAAAUGCGAUAAGUAAUGUGAAUUGCAGAAUUCAGUGAAUCAUCGAAUCUUUGAACGCACAUUGCGCCCCUUGGUAUUCCGAGGGGCAUGCCUGUUCGAGCGUCAUUAUAACCCCUCAAGCUCAGCUUGGUGUUGGGGCCUGCUGCACUGGCAGCCCUUAAAAUCAGUGGCGGCGCCAUCUGGCUCUAAGCGUAGUAAUUCUUCUCGCUAUGGAGUCCUGGUGGAUGCUUGCCAUCAACCCCCAAUUUUUCUAUGGUUGACCUCGGAUCGGGUAGGGAUACCCGCUGAACUUAAGCAUAUCAAUAAGCGGAGGA
RNAcentral lists this unclassified non-coding RNA (329 nucleotides) under soil metagenome. Its description in RNAcentral is "partial contains 5.8S ribosomal RNA, internal transcribed spacer 2, and large subunit ribosomal RNA". The stretch from base 1 to 120 matches the Rfam family "5.8S ribosomal RNA", at positions 35 to 154 of the family's 154-position model. The record is from RNAcentral.